RNAcentral lists this microRNA precursor (100 nucleotides) under Marmota monax (woodchuck). Lineage: Eukaryota; Metazoa; Chordata; Mammalia; Rodentia; Sciuridae. The record is from RNAcentral.
AGUGCGAUAGCUGGGUCAAAUUGUUCCAUUCCAAGUUUUCCAAGGAAUCUCCAUACUGCUUUCCAGAUUGGCUGCACCAAUUUGCAGUCCCACUAGCAAU